GAUGAACGCUGGCGGCGUGCUUAACACAUGCAAGUCGAGCGAGAAGUUUUGAAAAGAUUCUUCGGAUGAAAUUUAAAAUGGAAAGCGGCGGACGGGUGAGUAACGCGUAGGCAACCUGCCCCAUACAAAGGGAUAGCAUUUGGAAACGAAUAUUAAUACCUUAUGAAACUUAACUAGUGCAUGCUAGGUAGGUCAAAGAUUUAUCGGAUGGGGAUGGGCCUGCGUCUGCUUAGCUAGUUGGGGAGGUAACGGCUCACCAAGGCGCCGAUCAGGUCCCGACCUGGGAGGGUGAACCGGCACAUUGGAACUGAGCCACGGUCCAAACUCCUACGGGAGGCAGCAGUGGGGAAUAUUGCACAAUGGGGGCAACCCUGAUGCAGCAACGCCGCGUGAACGAUGAAGGCCUUUGGGUCGUAAAGUUCUGUUCUAGGUGAUGAAAACUGACAGUAACCUAGGAGAAAGCCCCGGCUAACUCCGUG
RNAcentral lists this ribosomal RNA (479 nucleotides) under uncultured bacterium. RNAcentral's name for it is "partial 16S ribosomal RNA". It matches the Rfam family "Bacterial small subunit ribosomal RNA", at positions 28 to 507 of the family's 1533-position model. The record is from RNAcentral.